RNAcentral lists this ribosomal RNA (537 nucleotides) under uncultured bacterium. RNAcentral's name for it is "bacterial SSU rRNA". It matches the Rfam family "Bacterial small subunit ribosomal RNA", at positions 969 to 1509 of the family's 1533-position model. The record is from RNAcentral.
CCUUACCAGGUCUUGACAUACUCGUGCUAUUCCUAGAGAUAGGAAGUUCCUUCGGGACACGGGAUACAGGUGGUGCAUGGUUGUCGUCAGCUCGUGUCGUGAGAUGUUGGUUAAGUCCGCAACGAGCGCAACCCCUAUUGUUAGUUGCCAUCAUUAAGUUGGGCACUCUAACGAGACUGCCGGUGAUAAACCGGAGGAAGGUGGGGAUGACGUCAAAUCAUCAUGCCCCUUAUGACCUGGGCUACACACGUGCUACAAUGGAUGGUACAACGAGUCGCGAGACAGUGAUGUUUAGCUAAUCUCUUAAAACCAUUCUCAGUUCGGAUUGUAGGCUGCAACUCGCCUACAUGAAGUCGGAAUCGCUAGUAAUCGCGGAUCAGCACGCCGCGGUGAAUACGUUCCCGGGCCUUGUACACACCGCCCGUCACACCACGGGAGUUGGGAGUACCCGAAGUAGGUUGCCUAACCGCAAGGAGGGCGCUUCCUAAGGUAAGACCGAUGACUGGGGUGAAGUCGUAACAAGGUAAGCGUAGCGAG